AUGAACCGCUCCUCGGCCCCGGGCCCGGAUGGACUGCCGGUUUUGUUCUUUAAAACAUUCUGGCAGACCAUUAAGCCGGAGGUCAUGGCCCUCUUCGAUGAGUUCUUCUCUGGGACCAUGGACCUGGGGCGCCUGAACUAUCGGAUCAUUACCCUCAUCCCCAAAGUCCCUGGGGCCUCGGACAUCUGCCAGUUUCGUCCCAUCACCGUGAUCAACGUGAUCUUCAGGAUCCUGGCCAAGGGGUACGCCAAUAGGGUGACCCUGCUUGCAGAUUCUAUUACCCAUCCCAACCAGUCUGCCUUCAUACAAGGCCGAUAUAUUUUGGAUGGGGUGUUAGUCUUCCACGAAGUCCUCCACGAAGUUCGAGCGAAACACCUCCGCGCGGUGUUCCUUAAGCUCAACUUCCACAAGGCCUAUGACAUGGUUCACUGGCCCUUCCUUUGGGAAGUUUUGCUUCGGAAAGGCUUCGACGACCGCUGGGUGACACGGGUUAUGCAACUCGUCACCUACGGCCGGACGGCGGUCAACAUCAACGGUGAGAUUGGGCCCUACUUCCCCACCUUACGCGGGGUGCGCCAAGGAGACCCGUUCUCCCCAUUUCUCUUUAACAUAGUGGUCGAUGCCCUUGCUGUCAUCCUGGAUAAGGCCAAGGCCUGUGGCCAUAUUCGGGGCGUGGUUCCUCACCUUGUUGGUGCGGGAGGGGUCUCCCUCCUCCAGUAUGCGGACGACACCAUUAUCAUGGUUGAAGGCUCCACUUCCGACAUCGCCAACCUGAAGUUCCUUCUUCUUCCAACAAAUGUCCGGACUGACCAUUAA
Molecule: ribosomal RNA, 816 nt
Filed under: Triticum aestivum (bread wheat)
Lineage: Eukaryota; Viridiplantae; Streptophyta; Magnoliopsida; Poales; Poaceae
Description: partial small subunit ribosomal RNA
Source: RNAcentral